AGAGCGCGUGCCCCGAACCGCGCGGUGCAUCCAGCAGCCAAAUUCAAGAAGGAAGAAGAUUUUGCCGGGCCGUACGGACGUUACAUCAUGGAAGAUGACGAAACGCCUGACUGGGUACCACACGGCAUGCCUGAUUGGCGGAGAGUGGGACCAAUACGAGGUGUACUGCCCGGAGAUGAUGAGAUGUACCACCUGAUCAUCGGACUUGGCCAAGUACCAGCGCAGCAGUACAUCGUGGUCGCGCCGAACGUCGCCAGCGCAUCU
RNAcentral lists this long non-coding RNA (264 nucleotides) under Dermacentor andersoni. Its description in RNAcentral is "uncharacterized LOC126538747". Lineage: Eukaryota; Metazoa; Arthropoda; Arachnida; Ixodida; Ixodidae. The record is from RNAcentral.